ACACGUAAGUUGCGAGCGUUGUUCGGAAUUAUUGGGCGUAAAGGGCAUGUAGGCGGUAAUGCAAGUCUGGUGUGAAAUGCCGGGGCUCAACCCCGGAACUGCGUUGGAAACUGCAUUACUUGAGUGACUGAGGGGCAGGCAGAAUUCCUGGUGUAGGGGUGAAAUCUGUAGAUAUCAGGAAGAAUACCGAUGGCGAAGGCAGCCUGCCAGCAGAUGACUGACGCUGAGGUGCGAAGGUGCGGGGAGCAAACAGGAUUAGAUACCCUGGUAGUCCGCACAGUCAACUAUGUACACUGGAUGUCUGGACAGAAGUCUGGGUGUCGAAGCAAACGCGAUAAGUGUACCGCCUGGGGAGUAUGCCCGCAAGGGUGAAACUCAAAUGAAUUGACGGGG
This 393-nucleotide ribosomal RNA is filed under the name uncultured bacterium. RNAcentral's name for it is "partial 16S ribosomal RNA". It matches the Rfam family "Bacterial small subunit ribosomal RNA", at positions 523 to 918 of the family's 1533-position model. The record is from RNAcentral.